UACGGGGGGAGCAAGCGUUGUUCGGAUUUACUGGGCGUAAAGGGCGCGUAGGCGGCGUGACUAGUCACUUGUGAAAUCUCCGGGCUUAACUCGGAACGGUCAAGUGAUACUGUCGUGCUAGAGUACAGAAGGGGCAACUGGAAUUCUCGGUGUAGCGGUGAAAUGCGUAGAUAUCGGAAGGAACAUCAGUGGCGAAAGCGACUUCCUGGACCAAUACUGACGCUCAUGUGCGAAAGCGUGGGGAGCAAACAGG
Molecule: ribosomal RNA, 253 nt
Filed under: uncultured bacterium
Lineage: Bacteria
Description: partial 16S ribosomal RNA
Rfam family: Bacterial small subunit ribosomal RNA
Source: RNAcentral